Molecule: long non-coding RNA, 223 nt
Filed under: Elaeis guineensis (African oil palm)
Lineage: Eukaryota; Viridiplantae; Streptophyta; Magnoliopsida; Arecales; Arecaceae
Description: long non-coding RNA (EGUI_LNC017291)
Source: RNAcentral
AUUCAUCAGGAAGGUAAAAGAAAUAUCUCUAAAAUAAUAUUUAUCAGAUCAAGGUCCAAGCUAGUCGAUUUGUGAAUAUUUUACAUAAGUCUGACACUCCAAAUCCUAAGGUAAGAGAGUAUUGAACUACCCAAAGUCAUAUCUUAUAUAAAAUUUUGAUGAUCGAUUUGCUCAGAACAUUCUCAAGCACAUAUUAAGUAGUCUCUAAAACAUAACCUCAGGC